GUCCUAUCCGCUCACAGAACCGCUAACGUUCUGCCAGCAUGUUUACAAAAGACGAGCUAGCUACCCAGCCAUGUCAUUUUCCCAAAAUCAAUAUUCCUAUCUGCCCAGAUGUCAGCCCAGCCGGAAGAAAAGAAUUGGACAAUCUAAUGAAGUGGUCCUUCCAUCUCUGAUGCAGGGUCAGCAGUGAUGCGCUCCGGUGUCGGCCAGCUCCUUGGUGAAGGUCAACUGGUGGCCAGUGAGUUUAUUAACAACACAAAUUGCACACUCGAUGCUUCCCUGGGAAGAGGAGUUGACAGAGCUAAUUCAAGCUGGGACGGACCAUAAUUCAAGUGAUUGAUCCGUGGAUUUACUGCGAGCUUCUAACCGCGGCCGAGAGUGAGACGAGAAUACGGCGGCCGAGGUGAACGUGAUGCCGAGGUGAAGCCACUGGGUGGCAGUCAGCCUCCAGCUGCGGCAUCUGGAGUUCCUGUGACAUCGCUUGCUUUAAAAAGUACAUAACAGCCAGAAUAAGAAAUGGAGGAGAAGCUGCUUCAAUGGGAGACUUGACAGUUGGAGUCUUACUCGCAUUCUUCAAACCCACGGAACAGUUCCUCAAGCGAUUUGGCUUCUGGCAUUUUUUAUUCACACAAUAAGAUAAGCAAUCUGAAACGUUUUCUGGGGCCAGAUGUCGUGAAACGCCAGAAGUGGUAUAACAACAACUUUGGACAACUUUUACCCUGAAGACCCUAAAACAAAGGCAAACAUUUACAUGUCUGUUAAUAUGUAGUCUCUUUACGUACCUUAAGCAAGUAGGUGUGUUGCCUCAACCUGACCAAUCGGUUGACAACGUUAACCACCAGCCAUCGUGCAUUUCUGUCAAUGUGAUACAUAUCUUGUGGUUUUCUUUUCUUUCUUGUGACUGGAAAAAAAAAAAGUUAUGGUUAAGAUUGGAGAAAAAGAAAGCGGUUAUAGAAAAUACACUUGGAUUGUAUGGUGAGUGACACAGCAGAAAACCCUUGUUUGAGGCUGGAGAAUGAUUGUGCGUGUAGUUAAAGAAGGAUGUCGGCUCUGUGUUAGAAAGGGAACUCACUUAAAUGAAAGUCAGAAUCACUUCACACCCGUCCAACACCCAGACCUCCACACCUUGACUUUCCACCUGAGCACACAGUACACAAGACUUCCUGCAAUGGCCUGAACACUGGCACUGGACUGAGGGGACAGACGUUGGAUUGGUGUGGAAAUGGUUUAACACGGUUGUGGCCGCUGAGCCUGCAGCGUUCUCUUAGUUCACUGGAAACCCGCUCGCAGACAGUUGGAAAGGAUCGCUGAGACGUGGUACCAGGGGCGGUCAAAUACCCGCCCGUCAAAUGCCUUCCGAUUCCAUCAUACAUUCCAGUGAGCAGGACUCUUUUGUUGUACUACGAUGUGAUUGGAAAAAAACAGGGAUGACCAAUCCAUUAAAAAAGUACAUUUCCUUAAAAUAUUUUAAUUGGAAGAGAGCUCUCUACAUUUCUUUUUCAAUUAUGUUUCCGACUGGGUUUGUUAAUCAAUACUCAAUAAGCGUUGCUUGUUGUUACUCCUUAAGUGUUACUGCUGCCUUAUCCCUUCAUUUUUGCCAACAUUUUACCAGCACUAGUUAUGUUGUUAUGUUACGUGUAUGCUACUUACUGUGUUCCUCUUGGCACAUUAAAUAGGCCGUUGUGGUGGUAAAACUCACACAACCCAGUGCUUGUCUGUUUUAAACCAUGCUUUCUCAUUUGUGCUCUGUGGUUUUAUGAAGAAUAAAGCAACAGUGGAGCA
This is a long non-coding RNA of Gasterosteus aculeatus aculeatus (three-spined stickleback), 1779 nucleotides long. The record is from Ensembl. NCBI's taxonomy places the organism in Eukaryota, Metazoa, Chordata, Actinopteri, Perciformes, Gasterosteidae.